This 202-nucleotide unclassified non-coding RNA is filed under the name Hevea brasiliensis (rubber tree). Lineage: Eukaryota; Viridiplantae; Streptophyta; Magnoliopsida; Malpighiales; Euphorbiaceae. The record is from RNAcentral.
UUGAGUUGAAUUGAGUUGAGUUAUUUAUUAUGCUGGUGGAUAAUAUUGGUUUAGGGUGGUAUGCAAUUACCAUUUAUUUUAGUAUAUGACAUCGGUUAAAAAUUAUUUAUCAAUAAUGCUUAUAUCAAUCCUUUGAUAUUCUUUUGAUGCAAAGAACAAAUAAUAGUAAAUGCAUAUAUGUUGUUCUAAUCUUUUAUAUUUG